This 28-nucleotide small RNA is filed under the name Bombyx mori (domestic silkworm). Its description in RNAcentral is "ovarian small RNA-26739". The record is from RNAcentral. Lineage: Eukaryota; Metazoa; Arthropoda; Insecta; Lepidoptera; Bombycidae.
UCCAGAAAUUAAGCAAAAAGGCAGUUGA